GAAAGAGGGUCUGAAGAGGAGCCUUGAUCUCUUGAGGGCACAUGGUGUGACUUUCGAUAGUAUUGUCACAGACCGGCACCCUCAAGUACAGGAAUUUCUGCGGGAGGCCAACAUCACACACUAUUACGAUGUAUGGCACAUCGAAAAAGGACUGUCCAAGAAACUGCUGAAGAUUUCUCAGAGCAAAGAUUGUGAGAAACUGCAAAAGUGGCUUCGCAGUAUCAAAAACCAUAUAUAUUGGACAGCAGCUUCUUCGUCGUCAGCGCAAGAGCGAGUGGCAAAGUGGACUUCAAUUCUUAAUCACGUACAAGACAUUCACACGCAUGAAGAUCCUGUUUUUCCACAGUGUUUACAUCCACGACGCACUUCAAGGGACAAGAGGCAAGUGGUUGAGAGCUGGAACACCUGCCUUCUGUAGAUUAGAGAAGGUGCUCACAAACAAGAGGAUUCUGAAGGAUGUUCAGAAGCUGAGCCCUCACCAUCAGACCUCAUCACUGGAAGCAUUCCAUAGCGUAAUUCUACGUUUCGCGCCCAAGAAUGUUGUCUUUAGUUUUCUUGGAAUGUUAUGCAGACUCUACCUAGCAGCCCUACAUUUUAAUGAAAAUGCUGGGCGCCCCCAAGCAACAACAGCAGCUGGUGGACCGCAAUUUAAAGUCAACUUUCCAAAGUACAAGAAAGGACAAUGCACUGCAAAGCCAGUGAAAGCAGAUCC
This is a long non-coding RNA of Ctenopharyngodon idella (grass carp), 712 nucleotides long. RefSeq lists it as uncharacterized. NCBI's taxonomy places the organism in Eukaryota, Metazoa, Chordata, Actinopteri, Cypriniformes, Xenocyprididae. The record is from RefSeq and is a predicted model, not a curated record. The transcript is spliced from 4 exons.